This 4526-nucleotide long non-coding RNA is filed under the name Sus scrofa (pig). RNAcentral describes it as "lncRNA (ENSSSCG00055018222.1)". The record is from RNAcentral. Lineage: Eukaryota; Metazoa; Chordata; Mammalia; Artiodactyla; Suidae.
UGUGCUGAGUGGAAAAAAGUGCCUUAAAGAUAACUUCUCCAGGGCCUUAAAUAAAGUAUAUUUGGACUAGAAUUUGAAUAUGAAUCAAGUUAACUGGAAUAGGAAUAUGAAUCAAGUUAAAGAAGUCACAUGUUCUCUUAUUUCUUAUUCUCCAUUUCAGUUUUAAUUUUCUCUUAACCAAGUUAGUUUUUUCUAUUUUUUUAGACUGUUCUUCUUAGUAGGGUUGUUCUAAUAACAAAAUUUCUGGAUAUGGAAUAGAGGAUAUUGAUAUACGGGUAUCAUCAAUUUAUAUGCAUCUAGUUCUUUCAUUUCUAAGGGUACUAGCACCAUAAUUUGGGAGGGAAAUGUUACGACUUUUGAAGGUUUAACCACCUCUGAGACUACUAGAAUAUUUAAAAACACUUUGAAAACAAAAAUAAAGUUAGAGGACUAAUACUAUAUGAUAUUGACAUAUUAUAAAGCUACAGAAGUUAAGGCAGUGUGAUAUUCAUACUAAGACAGAGAAAUAUAGGAGCAGGACAAAGUAAUUUACAAAAUGACCUAUACAUAAUAGACAACUGAUUUUCAACACAGGUGAAAGGAUAAUUCAAUGGUGAAAAAAACAGUCUUUUCAACAAACACUGCCUAGACAAUUGGAUAUCCACAUACAAAAAACAUGGAUGAAUAGACAAAAGUUGGAUUAAUCCUUCACAUUAUAUGUGCAAGCUAACUCAGAAUAGGUUACAAACCAAAUAUGACAUAAAACUAUAUAACUUCUUCUUUUUUUUUUUCAGGUCACACCCGCAGCAUGUGGAGGUUCCCAGGCUAGGGGUCGAAUAAAAACUGCAACUGCAGGCCUAUACCACAGCCACAGUAAUGCAGAAUCCAAGCCGUGUCUGUGACUUACACCACAGCUCAUGGCAAGGCCGGAUCCUUAACCCACUGAGUGAGGCCAGGGAUGGAACCUGAAACCUCACGGUUACUGGUCAGAUUCAUUUCUGCCAAGCCAUGACUGGAAGUCCAAAACUAUGUAACUUAUAAAAGAAAACACAGGAGGAAAUCUUUAGAUCCCUAUAGAGUUUGUACACAAGUGCUCAUAAGAGCUUUAUUUAUAAUAACCAAAAAGUGAAAACAAUUUAAAUUUCCAUCAAUAGGUAAAUGCAUAAAGUGAUGUGGUAACAGCCAGUGGAAUGCUACUCAAUAAUAAAAAUAGAGGAAAUAUUAAUCCAUGCUACAGCUUGAAUGAAUCGCAGAAUAACACUGAAUGAUAAAAGUCAGGGAAAAAAUAUACCUUGUAUAAUUCCAUUUUUAUAAACCUCUUAAAAAGUACCAACAGGUUUUCUGACAGAAAGCAGAUGAAGAGUUUGCCUGGGGAAAGAAGGUCAGGAGGUCUGGAAGGGAGGGAUUAUGAAGAGGUGCAAAGAAACUUUUGAGUGUGAUGAAUAUAUUCAUUACUUUAAGAGGUGGUUCAAAUUCUGUACUUUAAAUAUAUGAAGUUUAUAUAUGUCAACUAUGCUUCAAUAAAGCUGUUAAAAAUCUCUGAAUGGCAUACAUUUAACACAGGUUUAUCUUUAAAUACAUCUUUAAUUUUUUUAAAUUUAUUUUUUUAAAUGUAUUUAUUUAUUUUUGCUUUUUAUGGCCACACCUGGGCAUACAGAAGUUCCCAGGUGAGGGGUCGAAUCAGAACUGCAGCUGUAGGACUACACCACAGCCACAGCAAUCAGCAAUGCCAGAUCCAAGCCGCAUCUGCUACCUACAUCACAGAUGGUGGCAACAUCAGAUCCUUAACCCACCAAGUAGGGUCAGGGAUUGAACUUUCAUCCUCAUGGGUACUUGUCAGGUUCAUUUUCACUGACCAACAGUAGGAACUCAUAAAUACAUCUUUUAAAUGAGCUUUAAAAUGUUAGACUAGCACAGGGUGAGAACACUCUAAGUAGCAGUAACUGCUUCCCUCAUUCGUGCAGUUCUGGCCAUCAUCCCUUUGGGUGUCUUGCUGCUCUCCAGCUCCUAGGUCCAAGGUCAUGAGAAGUUGCUGAGGCUAUUGGCUAGCUCCUUCACUGCUCUUCUCUUUCUAAGAUGUUUUUCUCAGACUUAGAUUCUCAAUAAGAUCCUAUAAGAAAAAAAAUACAUGUUAGGGAGUCCCCGUCGUGGCUCAGCAGUUAACGAAAAUGACUAGUAUCCGUGAGGACGCAGGUUCAAUCCCUGGCCUCACUCAGUGGGUUAAGGAUCCGGCAUUGCUGUGAACUGUGGUGCAGGUCACAGAUGUGGCUCAGAUCCCACAUUGCUGUGGCUGUGCUAUAGGCUGGCAACUAUAGCUCCCAUUUGACCCCUAGCCUGGGAACCUCCAUAUGCUGCAGGGGUGGCCCUAAAAAAAACAGACAACAAAAAAAAGAAAAAAUAAUGUAAAACUGGUGAACACCCUUCUUCCAUUUCCCCCUUAAAAAAACACAUCGGAUCUUAAAGUAAAUAAUAUUUUUCAUUUUUGGUGAUGUUUUGGGUGUUUUUUUUGGGGGGGAGUCAAAUAAAAGCAUUAUCUUUAGUUUUCUGUUUGACAUUUUAGAGGUGAGAGAAUAAGCAGAAUAAGUUAGCCUUUUUUCUAAUGAAAAUUGGUGCACACAGGUAGACUUUAUUAAUUGGUCAAGAUAUUUAGAAAGCGAGAGGGCUGACUCACAGAUCCCAUCUGGUUCUUAACUAAAUUUCAGCCCACAGUCGAGCAGCCCCAAGUGACUGCUGUUUGCUGCACUCGCUUCAUGCAUUUUAAGGACCCCAAAUUCAAAGACGAAGGACUGCCCUGUGGAAAUUUGCCCUGCUUCCCUCUUUCUGUCUUAAUCACUGCCCAUCUCUUCCUUCAUAGGCACCCCUUUUUUGUCUCUUUCUGUGUGGCUGUGUGUGGUCUCCUCUUGUGUCUAUUCCUCCUCCUUUCUUUGACUCUAUUAACUAUAUCAUGAGGUGAAACUUUGCUUUUAUUAUUUUAUUUAUUGAAGGGAAUGUCUGAGUUGCCUUCCUUAAAAGCAGACAGAUACCAUAUUUUUACUCCUUUCAAAAAACCACUCCAUUUACAAUGAAACAAAUAAAAUCUAGUUGUUUUAUGCUUUUUACUUCUGUAUCCUUUAGUUUGCUUUUUUUCUGUGCUAGCGGCACUACUCUUCCCUGCUUCUCCCAGAAAACUACGAUGCUGUUGUAAAGUAAUAAUUUAGUGAAUUAUUGCUGUUUAUAGAUCUAUUUGUUGAUGGCGUCAAGUGCAUUACAACAGAGUUAAUGGUAUGUGUACUUGCUAUUGUCCCUUAGAAUGUUUUUGGUCUAUUUUGAUUGCUAUAAACUUUUGAUCAUUAAAUAAAACUAAUUGAGUAGAUGCAUUUUGUAAAAACUUGCUUAUUUAACAAAAUUGUCAUAAUCUUCAAAAAUGACUUGACAAAAUUAAUUUUGAUUAUGAAAUCAGUAGCAGUCAAUGAGAAACAUCAAUUUUCUUAUAUUGCUUUGGAAACUUUUCGCAUCUUUGGAUGAGAGGGUGAUUGCAAUCGCACCAUUUGCACUGAGAAAACAUCAAAGACGAGCUUUAGACAUUCAGUUUCACACAAUAUAAGAUCCUGGAACUUCUAAGAAAGUUUACUUCAUAAACUUGCUAAUCAGCCAUGAGUCUGGUGUUCUACCAAAUAAAACAUGAAGCCAUGAAUAAUGGAUCUUAUCAACAAUUAAAGUGCAAUAUGACAUAAUCAUAGAGUAAGGCAAAUGGGAAAGAUUACAAAAAACUUUGGAAAUGUUAAGCAAAGAUAUUCUACAUUGAUUAAGGCAAUUCUGCAAGGAGAUUAGGAAAAACGCCCUCUUGAAAUCCUGGGUCUCUGAUUCUCUAUUACAUUUUAUUAUUUUAAUCACUGAAAAUAAACAGUACAAGGCAGGGGAAUUUCCUUUGAAACACAAGUUGGAGAGAACAUCUUUUGCAGUGGCUUUAUUGUACUGCCAUCUCUUUCCAAUUCUGCUCAUACUCUGAGACUUCCUGAUAAAGAGCAGUUAUAAAAGUUCCAAAAUUACACCCACCUGCAGCAGCAAGAUUUAAAGAUGGGAGUAUCUCCAGAAGGAGAGUUCAGCCACAUUCCUAGUGACCUCCGGGGACAUAAAGCAGCCUCUACUGACACACAGAGGCGGGGCCUCAGAGCUCCCCUUGUGCCUCAGUGGAUUAAGGACCCAACUGAGAGGUUGUGGAUUCAAUCCCUGGCCUCACUCAGUAAGGAUCUGUGCUACUAUAAGCUUUGAUGAAGGUCGCAGAUGCGGCUCAGAUUCAGUGUUGCAGCGGCUGCGGUAUAGGCUGGCAGCUGCAACUAACUAUGAUUCAACCAGUAGCCUGGGAACUUGCAUAUGCCGCAGGGGCAGCCGUUAAAAAGAAAAAAAGAGAUCAGACACAACUUAGAAUAGAUUUACAAGGAGAUCCUGCUGAAUAGCAUUGAGAACUUUGUCUAGAUACUCAUGUUGCAACAGAAGAAAGGGUGGGGGAAAAAAUGUAAUUGUAAUGUAUACAUGUAAGGAUAACCUGACCCCCUUGCUGUACAGUG